RNAcentral lists this ribosomal RNA (464 nucleotides) under uncultured Geobacteraceae bacterium. RNAcentral describes it as "partial 16S ribosomal RNA". It matches the Rfam family "Bacterial small subunit ribosomal RNA", at positions 338 to 794 of the family's 1533-position model. Lineage: Bacteria; Pseudomonadati; Thermodesulfobacteriota; Desulfuromonadia; Geobacterales; Geobacteraceae. The record is from RNAcentral.
CCUACGGGCGGCAGCAGUGGGGAAUUUUGCGCAAUGGGGGCAACCCUGACGCAGCAACGCCGCGUGAGUGAUGAAGGCCUUCGGGUCGUAAAGCUCUGUCAUAGGGGAAGAAAUGCAGGUGGUGAACAACCAUUCUGUUUGACGGUACCCUCAAAGGAAGCACCGGCUAACUCCGUGCCAGCAGCCGCGGUAAUACGGAGGGUGCGAGCGUUGUUCGGAAUUAUUGGGCGUAAAGCGCGUGUAGGCGGUUUGUUAAGUCUGAUGUAAAAGCCCCGGGCUAAACCUGGGAAGUGCAUUGGAUACUGGCAGACUUGAGUACGGGAGAGGAGAGUGAAAUUCCCAGUGUAGGAGUGAAAUCCGUAGAUAUUGGGAGGAACACCGGAGGCGAAGGCGGUCUCCUGGCCCGUUACUGACGCUCAGGCACGAAAGCGUGGGGAGCGAACGGGAUUAGAUCCCAUGGUAGU